UCACUAUAUCUACUAUUUCCUUUUUAUUUAAAAUAUCAACUGCACUAAAUAUAUAACUAUUACGGUAAUUAAAUACAAAAUGUAACUAAAUACAACUAGUCCUUUAUUAUAUACACAUUCAUAUUAAAUAGUCUAAAUACACUGGAACUGUCUGUGCCAGCACUGGCAGUGACAAUACCAGAAAGCUGCGGGUUGGUGCAGGGGGUGUGCCCCCCCCCCAGUGGUGUCCAGCACCCCCUUGAAGAAAACUCUGGUAUUCCAUGUUUGAGUUGUGAAUACUACUUAUUAUAUUGAAAUAUGUUCUGGGGGAAAUUUCAAAAAUGUUCUGGGGGGAAAUGCCCUAGACCCCUGUGGUAAUUGCACCUCGUCUAGAAAACCUCCACCCCC
Molecule: non-coding RNA, 387 nt
Organism: Paramuricea clavata
Lineage: Eukaryota; Metazoa; Cnidaria; Anthozoa; Malacalcyonacea; Plexauridae
Source: the annotation of a GenBank genome assembly